Molecule: transfer RNA, 84 nt
Filed under: Felis catus (domestic cat)
Lineage: Eukaryota; Metazoa; Chordata; Mammalia; Carnivora; Felidae
Rfam family: tRNA
About the family: Transfer RNA (tRNA) molecules are approximately 80 nucleotides in length. Their secondary structure includes four short double-helical elements and three loops (D, anti-codon, and T loops).
Source: Rfam by way of RNAcentral
GCCUGGUGGCUCAGUCGGUUAAGCAUCUGACUUUGGCUCAGGUCAUGAUCUCACAGUCCGUGGGUUCGAGCCCCUCAUCGGGCU